This 474-nucleotide ribosomal RNA is filed under the name uncultured bacterium. RNAcentral's name for it is "bacterial SSU rRNA". It matches the Rfam family "Bacterial small subunit ribosomal RNA", at positions 28 to 507 of the family's 1533-position model. The record is from RNAcentral.
GAUGAACGCUGGCGGCAUGCCUAAUACAUGCAAGUCGAACGAGAGGAAGGGAAGCUUGCUUUCCUGAAUCUAGUGGCGAACGGGUGAGUAACACGUAGGUAACCUGCCCAUGUGCCCGGGAUAACUUCUGGAAACGGAUGCUAAAACCGGAUAGGUAGCAGACAAGCAUUUGACUGCUAUUAAAGUGGCCUUGGCCAUGAACAUGGAUGAGCCCGCGGCGUAUUAGCUAGUUGGUGAGGUAAUGGCCCACCAAGGCAACGAUGCGUAGCCGGCCUGAGAGGGUGAUCGGCCACAUUGGGACUGAGACACGGUCCAGACUCCUACGGGAGGCAGCAGUGGGGAAUAUUGGGCAAUGGGCGAAAGCCUGACCCAGCAACGCCGCGUGAGGGAAGAAGGGUUUCGGCUCGUAAACCUCUGUCCUAUGGGACGAAGGAAGUGACGGUACCAUAGGAGGAAGCCCCGGCUAACUACGUG